CCUACGGGAGGCAGCAGUGAGGAAUAUUGGUCAAUGGACGAGAGUCUGAACCAGCCAAGUAGCGUGAAGGAUGACUGCCCUAUGGGUUGUAAACUUCUUUUAUAUGGGAAUAAAAUGUUCCACGUGUGGGUUUUUGUAUGUACCAUAUGAAUAAGGAUCGGCUAACUCCGUGCCAGCAGCCGCGGUAAUACGGAGGAUCCGAGCGUUAUCCGGAUUUAUUGGGUUUAAAGGGAGCGUAGGUGGAUUGUUAAGUCAGUUGUGAAAGUUUGCGGCUCAACCGUAAAAUUGCAGUUGAAACUGGCAGUCUUGAGUACAGUAGAGGUGGGCGGAAUUCGUGGUGUAGCGGUGAAAUGCUUAGAUAUCACGAAGAACCCCGAUUGCGAAGGCAGCUCACUAGACUGCAACUGACACUGAGGCUCGAAAGUGUGGGUAUCAAACAGGAUUAGAUACCCUAGUAGUC
RNAcentral lists this ribosomal RNA (460 nucleotides) under uncultured bacterium. RNAcentral's name for it is "partial 16S ribosomal RNA". It matches the Rfam family "Bacterial small subunit ribosomal RNA", at positions 338 to 795 of the family's 1533-position model. The record is from RNAcentral.